CAUCCCAGUUCGGAUUGCAGGCUGAAACCCGCCUGUAUGAAGUUGGAAUCGCUAGUAAUCGCGGAUCAGCAUGCCGCGGUGAAUACGUUCCCGGGCCUUGUACACACCGCCCGUCACACCAUGAGAGUCGGGAACACCCGAAGUCCGUAGUCUAACCGCAAGGGGACGCGGCCGAAGGUGGGUUCGAUAAUUGGGGUGAAGUCGUAACAAGGUAAC
RNAcentral lists this ribosomal RNA (216 nucleotides) under uncultured bacterium. Its description in RNAcentral is "partial 16S ribosomal RNA". It matches the Rfam family "Bacterial small subunit ribosomal RNA", at positions 1284 to 1500 of the family's 1533-position model. The record is from RNAcentral.